GCAUGCUAUGCAUUGUCGCCGGAAGAGAAGCUGAAGGUAUGUAGUUUCUUGGUUGAUCUGAAGGUUCCUGAUGCCUUUUCCUCAAAUAUUUCAAGGUGUGUCAAUGUACAGGAAAAAAAGAUACAUGGAUUAAAAUGUCAUGAUCAUCAUGUAUUGUUGCAAGACAUUUUUCCAGUAGCUAUACGUGGUUUGCUACCCAAGGAAGUGUGUGAUCCAAUUAUAGCUUUAGGAAAAUUUUUCAAGAAUAUAUACUCUAAGUGCUUGACGAUUGAAGAUCUUGAUAUCCUAGAGGCAGAAAUUCCUAUUAUUUUGUGCAAACUUCAACUUGUUUUCCCUCCGGCAUUCUUUGAUGUCAUGGUUCAUUUGCCAAUUCACUUGUCAAGUGAGGCAAAGCUUGGUGGACAAGCUCAAUAUCGGAAUAUGUAUCCUAUAGAGAGGUAUUUGCGAACACUUAAGUCAUACGUUCGCAAUAAAAAUCGUCCAGAAGGUUCAAUUGCAGAAGGUUAUUUGGCAGAGGAAAGCCUCACAUUUUGCUCACGAUACUUGAAGAAUAUCUCAACCAAGUUUAAUAAACCAACUAGGAAUGAUGAUGGAUCUGUGUCAAAUGAUGAGAUGUCUAUCUUUAAAAAAAGUGGUCAAACAAAAGGUGUUUUAGAAGGCAUCAAGCUAUCUCAUGAUGAGUUUAAAUAAGCAUGUAUGUAUGUGCUUCAAAAUUGUGAAGAGGUUUCGCAUUUCAUGGAGGAAUAUACAAGAGAGAUUGAAAGCCAAAGUUCAAUGGGAGCUCAUAAAAAUGAGUUUCUUGAUUGGUUUCGCGCACGUAUAUUUGUACUAUCUUCACAAGGACGCGCAAAUGAUGAGCUCAUAAGCUUAGCCGUCGGUCCUGCACCAUUAGUACAUCGAUAUUCAAUAUUUAUGGUGAAUGGAUUUAGAUUUCAUACAAAAGAGCUUGCAUUGAGAAGAAAAAUGCAGAAUAGUGGUGUUCUUGUGAGAGAAGAUGAUUCAGACUCUAACGAGGAGUAUUAUGGUGUAUUAGAGGACAUUUAUGAGUUAUCUUAUGUGGAAAAUAGAAAAGUUUACUUAUUCAAGUGUCAUUGGUGGGAUGUAGCUCGCUUAGGAAGAGGAUAUAAGAUAGACAAAUACGGUUUCAUAAGUGUGAAUACUCGAUGUGCCUUGAAUACAAAUGAGCCAUUUGUGUUGGCAUCUCAGUCGGAGCAAGUCUUUUACUUGGACGACAUGGUCGAUAAGGAUUGGCUUAUUGUUGUGAAGACAAAUCCUCGUGACCUUUUUAAAGUGCCUGAUAAUGAUGAUAAUUGUGUAUAAAGUGAACAUGAAGAAUUAUUGAAUGAAGAAGUCUAUCAACAAGAGGAAGCUGAAUUUAAUACUUCGUGCACCGAUGACCAAGAAAAUAUUGUUGAGGUGUCUCUACAUAGGGAUAAUGUUGAACCACAAAGUAUUAACUAUGAUCAUGCAAGUACGCAAGCUCAAAACAAUGUGCAUAAUGAGGAAGAUGAUUUCAUUAAUGACAAUCAUAUAGAAAUAUCAGAGAGUGAAGAUAGCAAAGAAGAGUUAUUUGAUGAUGAUGAUGGGGAGGACACCGAUACAUCCUUUUGAAGACUAAGAAGCAAAAGACUAAUUAUAUAGAUGUUACAUCGUGUUUUGAAAAUUCUCUGUAUUUUUGUCCAUAUUAUUGUCCGUAUUAGACUAACAAUGAAAUUAGUUCUUGGUGCUUGAAGCUUUGUGUUGAUAUCUUAUUUUUGGAAGUUCUCUGUAUGUUUGUCCUUAUUAGACUUACGAUGAACUUAGUUCAUGAUGCUUGUAGCUUUAUGUCUACAUCUUAUUUUAAAAAGGUCUCUGAAAUUUUGUCCUAAUUAGAUUGAAUGAAAUUAAUUCGAAAUGAUUGAAGCUUUAAUUUUAUAACAGAAUCAGUGGUGAAGUAAAAUUAGUGGUUUACUCAAAUAUUUCAUCAAUUAAUUGAUUUUAAUUCUCUGUUAUUUGAAUUAAUAUUUUCUCUAGUCUAAUAAAUCAUUUUCUUUUUAUAUGAUGUUGCAGGAAAUGAAAGGAACUAGACGAGGAAAAAGUGGGAGAGGUGGGACGAGCUGUGGUCGUGGAAGUUUUCAAGGACGUGGCAAUUUUGGAGCGACGUCUCAGCCAUGCAUUCAGACUGGACGAGUAUCUGGUGCAUCUGUAGAGAUAGGACAACCAUGUAACCCGAGUCAAGGACCUUUACAAACCGGACGAGUAUCUAGUAACUCUCUCCCAAAAUCUUCUUUAGAAACACAAUCAUCACGAAAUGAACCAGAAACUGUGCAUCGCUCUCCAGAGGCUGACAAUUGUGCAAUUUCUUUCAGCAAUAAAAAAGAGGAAGAGGAAAGUACAAAUCUAAAAGUUUAGAUAUAAAAACUAAGUAUGGUGGCAAAAUCAAAAUUAUGAUUUCAGAUGACAUUGAUAGAGCAGUAGGUUCUGGGGCUAGAGAUAUUGUUAAGUACUGUGGUUUGAUCAUGAAAAGCACUAUCUCGUUCCAAGAUGGAAAUUGGCAAAAAAUAGUUUUGAAACACGGAGAAGCAAUGUGGUUAAAGGUCAAGGAUAAAUUUGAAGUUUGCAGCGGGCUGUAAGAGCAUAGGUUUCAAGCCUUUGUAAUUAGCACUAUGCAAAGGCUUUUUAGAGCAUGGAAAGCUCGACUAGGUAGGAUGUACUCUAAGUACAAUACUAAUGAAGAAAUAUUGUCUCAUCGACUUGAAGAUGUUGAGCUUGAGGACUGGAAAUACCUAAUACAAUAUUUUGAAAGUCAGGAUUUUAAGGUUGUAAGUAAGAGGAACAAAAGAAAUAGAGAAAAUCAAAUAACUAAGCAUACUUGUGGUACAAGGUCUUUUGCAGAAGUAGAGGAAUCUACGAGAAAUCCUAUUACCGAAGAAAUAGACACACCAGAUAAAGUUUGGGAGAUCCAACAUACACGCAAGGAUGAUAAAGGAGAACUGAUGGUCAACUUUAGGAAGUUGUCGCUCAGAAACAAUCUGAAGAGAUCGAGCAUCCCAUGACUAGAGAUGAGAUUUUAUCCACCAUUUUUGGUGAGAGAACAGGUUAUGUUCGCGGAAAAGGAUACGGAAAGAAGCCUCCUAAAAAGAGUAACACGCAGCAUGCAAACAUAGAGUCUAGCGUGUCUUUAGCUAUGAAAAUUGUGCGUCAAGAGAUGCAAGCCGAGAUGGAUAGGAAGUUGCAAGAAGAACGUGAACAAAUGGCCACUGAGUUGAAAAGAAAUAUGGAGCUUGAGUUGCAAAGGAAGUUGGCAGAGAAGCGUGAACACGCAAAUGCAGAAGUGCAAAGGAAGUUGGCAGAGGAGCGUGAACAUGCAAAUGUAGAAGUAGGAAAGAGGAUCCAUCUAGAAGUGGACAAGAGGAUGCAUGAACAAUUUGCUAGUUUCAUGAUCAGAAUGCAACAACAGGGACAAGGCACAUAAACAAUGGUAUCGUUCAAGGAUGGUGUCGACCAAGGAGCAAUUACAAGGCACUUAAUAUUUUGUCUUUUUGGGAUAUGUAUAUGCGUACAAUUACAAUGUACAAUAAAGUGUCGUGUAGUAUUAUGUAAUUGACUUUUUAGUGAUGAAAAUAUUUAUAAUAUUUAGUUUGAGAAUUU
Nicotiana tabacum (common tobacco) is the source of this 3630-nucleotide non-coding RNA. The record is from RefSeq and is a predicted model, not a curated record. Lineage: Eukaryota; Viridiplantae; Streptophyta; Magnoliopsida; Solanales; Solanaceae.